GAAGAAGAAGAAGAAGGGGGUGUGGAAGAAGGGGAUUUGAAAGAUGCUUUUGAUGUGUUUGAUUAUGAUAAAGAUGGAUUGAUAUCUGAGGAAGAAUUGAGUAAAGUGCUUUCAUCUUUGGGGUUAAAUCAAGGUAAGAGAUUAGAUGAUUGUAAAGAAAUGAUUAGGAAUGUUGAUGUUGAUGGUGAUGGAAUGGUGAAUUUUGAUGAAUUCAAGAAGAUGAUGAGAAAUGGUGGAAGGCUUAUUCCAAUUCCUUAGGAAGGGCAAAUUCCAUUUAUGUUACAAAAAACUAGUACUAGUAUUCAAGAUUCCUUUUUUUUUCUGACCCCGAUCGACAGUGUUUUCACUUACCCUCCAACGUGACUUGAAUCGUCAAUUCAGUACGAUCAACCGUGUUUUACGAUCUUAGUGUUUUUACUUAUCCUUUAGCAUGUCUCGAACUCUCAACCCUCCAACGUGACUUUAACCGUCAAUUCAGUAUGAUCAAUAGUGUUUUCACUUACCCUCCAACGUGACUUGAAUCGUCAAUUCAGUACGAUCAACCGUGUUUUACGAUCUUAGUGUUUUUACUUAUCCUUUAGCAUGUCUCGAACUCUCAACCCUCCAACGUGACUUUAACCGUCAAUUCAGUAUGAUCAAUAGUAUUUUCACUUACCCUCUAUCAUGAUCUUAUUGUUUUCACUUAUCCUUCAGCAUGUUUCGAACUCUCAACCCGAUUUAAACCGUCAAUUUAGUAUGAACAAUAGUAUUUUCACUUAUCCUGUAUUGUGAUCUUAGUGUUUUCCCUUAUCCUUCAGCA
Molecule: unclassified non-coding RNA, 799 nt
Filed under: Hevea brasiliensis (rubber tree)
Lineage: Eukaryota; Viridiplantae; Streptophyta; Magnoliopsida; Malpighiales; Euphorbiaceae
Source: RNAcentral